GUGAGGAAUUUUCCGCAAUGGGCGAAAGCCUGACGGAGCAAUGCCGCGUGAAGGAUGAAGGCCUAUGGGUUGUAAACUUUUUUUCUCAGAAAAGAAUUAUGACGGUAUCUGAGGAAUAAGCAUCGGCUAACUCUGUGCCAGCAGCCGCGGUAAGACAGAGGAUGCAAGCGUUAUCCGGAAUGAUUGGGCGUAAAGCGUCUGUAGGUUGUUUAAAAAGUAUUCUGUCAAAGAUUAGGGCUUAACCCUAGAUAGGCAGAAUAAACUUUUAAGCUAGAGUUUGGUAGAGGCAGAGAGAAUUCCCGGUGGAGCGGUGAAAUGCGUAGAUAUCGGGAGGAACACCAAAGGCGAAGGCACUCUGCUGGGCCAAUACUAACACUGAGAGACGAAAGCGAGGGGAGCAAAUGGGAUUAGAUACCCCGGUAGUCC
This 426-nucleotide ribosomal RNA is filed under the name uncultured bacterium. Its description in RNAcentral is "partial 16S ribosomal RNA". It matches the Rfam family "Bacterial small subunit ribosomal RNA", at positions 354 to 796 of the family's 1533-position model. The record is from RNAcentral.